This 1386-nucleotide ribosomal RNA is filed under the name Aurantiochytrium sp. Its description in RNAcentral is "SSU rRNA". It matches the Rfam family "Eukaryotic small subunit ribosomal RNA", at positions 20 to 1470 of the family's 1831-position model. The record is from RNAcentral. Lineage: Eukaryota; Bigyra; Thraustochytrida; Thraustochytriidae.
GUAGUCAUAUGCUUGUCUCAAAGAUUAAGCCAUGCAUGUGUAAGUAUAAGCGAUUGUACUGUGAGACUGCGAACGGCUCAUUAUAUCAGUAAUAAUUUCUUCGGUAGUUUCUUUUAUAUGGAUACCUGCAGUAAUUCUGGAAAUAAUACAUGCUGUAAGAGCCCUGUCUGGGGCUGCACUUAUUAGAUUGAAGCCGAUUUUAUUGGUGAAUCAUGAUAAUUGAGCAGAUUGACUAUUUUAGUCGAUGAAUCGUUUGAGUUUCUGCCCCAUCAGUUGUCGACGGUAGUGUAUUGGACUACGGUGACUAUAACGGGUGACGGAGAGUUAGGGCUCGACUCCGGAGAGGGAGCCUGAGAGACGGCUACCAUAUCCAAGGAUAGCAGCAGGCGCGUAAAUUACCCACUGUGGACUCCACGAGGUAGUGACGAGAAAUAUCGAUGCGAAGCGUGUAUGCGUUUUGCUAUCGGAAUGAGAGCAAUGUAAAACCCUCAUCGAGGAUCAACUGGAGGGCAAGUCUGGUGCCAGCAGCCGCGGUAAUUCCAGCUCCAGAAGCAUAUGCUAAAGUUGUUGCAGUUAAAAAGCUCGUAGUUGAAUUUCUGGCAUGGGCGACCGGUGCUUUCCCUGAAUGGGGAUUGAUUGUCUGUGUUGCCUUGGCCAUCUUUCUCAUGCUAUUUUGGUAUGAGAUCUUUCACUGUAAUCAAAGCAGAGUGUUCCAAGCAGGUCGUAUGACCGGUAUGUUUAUUAUGGGAUGAUAAGAUAGGACUUGGGUGCUAUUUUGUUGGUUUGCACGCCUGAGUAAUGGUUAAUAGGAACAGUUGGGGGUAUUCGUAUUUAGGAGCUAGAGGUGAAAUUCUUGGAUUUCCGAAAGACGAACUAGAGCGAAGGCAUUUACCAAGCAUGUUUUCAUUAAUCAAGAACGAAAGUCUGGGGAUCGAAGAUGAUUAGAUACCAUCGUAGUCUAGACCGUAAACGAUGCCGACUCGCGAUUGUUGGGUGCUUUAUUAUGGGCCUCAGCAGCAGCACAUGAGAAAUCAAAGUCUUUGGGUUCCGGGGGGAGUAUGGUCGCAAGGCUGAAACUUAAAGGAAUUGACGGAAGGGCACCACCAGGAGUGGAGCCUGCGGCUUAAUUUGACUCAACACGGGAAAACUUACCAGGUCCAGACAUAGGUAGGAUUGACAGAUUGAGAGCUCUUUCAUGAUUCUAUGGGUGGUGGUGCAUGGCCGUUCUUAGUUGGUGGAGUGAUUUGUCUGGUUAAUUCCGUUAACGAACGAGACCUCGGCCUACUAAAUAGUGCGUGGUAUGGCAACAUAGUACGUUUUUACUUCUUAGAGGGACAUGUCCGGUUUACGGGCAGGAAGUUCGAGGCAAUAACAGGUCUGUGAUGC